RNAcentral lists this ribosomal RNA (440 nucleotides) under uncultured bacterium. Its description in RNAcentral is "partial 16S ribosomal RNA". It matches the Rfam family "Bacterial small subunit ribosomal RNA", at positions 338 to 795 of the family's 1533-position model. The record is from RNAcentral.
CCUACGGGUGACAGCAGUAGGGAAUAUUGCUCAAUGGGGGAAACCCUGAAGCAGCAACGCCGCGUGGAGGAUGAAGGUUUUCGGAUUGUAAACUCCUUUUGUUAGAGAAGAUAAUGACGGUAUCUAACGAAUAAGCACCGGCUAACUCCGUUCCAGCAGCCGCGGUAAUACGGAGGGUGCAAGCGUUACUCGGAAUCACUGGGCGUAAAGAGCGCGUAGGCGGGUUAGCAAGUCAGAUGUGAAAUCCUAUGGCUUAACCCUAAAACUGCAUUUGAAACUGUUAUUCUAGAGUAUGGGAGAGGUAGGUGGAAUUCUUGGUGUAGCGGUGAAAUGCGUAGAGAUCAAGAGGAAUACUCAUUGCGAAGGCGGCCUGCUAGAACGUAACUGACGCUGAUGCGCGAAAGCGUGGGGAGCAAACAGGAUUAGAUACCCCUGUAGUC